UUAAAUCAUGUUUUAAAAUCAACUAUGUAUCAAAUAAAAAUAUCAUAUAUUAAAAUCCAAAAAAUAAAACGUAUAUCGUGUUGUUUGUAAGCAUCUCAUUUGCAUCUCUUUUGCUGGCUCUCUCUCUCUCUCUCUCUCUCUCUCUCUCACACACACACACACACACACACACACACACACACUGACUGCUGAGAGGGAGAAACAGGUCGCGGCAUCAGCUCUCACAAACUCUUUAAACUUUAAACGCUUGACCCGCGCGCGGAGGAGCGGAACCCUUGACGCCGCCCGGAGCAGCAGCUUCCAGUGAAACAUCUGCUAGUCUUUGACUCUUUGUUCACUCUUAAAAGAAUGGUUCAUCCAAAAAUGAACAUCUGCUGAAAAUGUACUUAUCCCCAGGCCAUCCAAGAUGAUGAGUGUGUUUCUUCUUCGGAUUUGGAGAAAUGCCUUCCAUCACUUGCUCAG
Long non-coding RNA from Cyprinus carpio (common carp), 462 nucleotides. NCBI's taxonomy places the organism in Eukaryota, Metazoa, Chordata, Actinopteri, Cypriniformes, Cyprinidae. The record is from Ensembl.